GAGCACGAAGGUCAGCUAAUCCUGGUCGGACAUCAGGAGGUUAGUGCAAUGGCAUAAGCUGGCUUGACUGCGAGAGUGACGGCUCGAGCAGGUGCGAAAGCAGGUCAUAGUGAUCCGGUGGUUCUGUAUGGAAGGGCCAUCGCUCAACGGAUAAAAGGUACUCCGGGGAUAACAGGCUGAUACCGCCCAAGAGUUCAUAUCGACGGCGGUGUUUGGCACCUCGAUGUCGGCUCAUCACAUCCUGGGGCUGAAGUAGGUCCCAAGGGUAUGGCUGUUCGCCAUUUAAAGUGGUACGCGAGCUGGGUUUAGAACGUCGUGAGACAGUUCGGUCCCUAUCUGCCGUGGGCGCUGGAGAAUUGAGGGGGGCUGC
This 370-nucleotide ribosomal RNA is filed under the name Cronobacter sakazakii. Its description in RNAcentral is "partial 23S ribosomal RNA". It matches the Rfam family "Bacterial large subunit ribosomal RNA", at positions 2306 to 2675 of the family's 2925-position model. Lineage: Bacteria; Pseudomonadati; Pseudomonadota; Gammaproteobacteria; Enterobacterales; Enterobacteriaceae. The record is from RNAcentral.